RNAcentral lists this ribosomal RNA (253 nucleotides) under uncultured bacterium. RNAcentral's name for it is "partial 16S ribosomal RNA". It matches the Rfam family "Bacterial small subunit ribosomal RNA", at positions 524 to 776 of the family's 1533-position model. The record is from RNAcentral.
UACGUUGGGAGCAAGCGUUGUCCGGAAUCAUUGGGCGUAAAGCGCGCGUAGGUGGCUUCGUAAGUCCGUUGUGAAAGUCAAAGGCUCAACCUUUGAAUGCCGAUGGAUACUGCGGAGCUAGAGUACGGAAGAGGCGAGUGGAAUUCCUGGUGUAGCGGUGGAAUGCGCAGAUAUCAGGAGGAACACCAAUAGCGAAGGCAGCUCGCUGGGACGUUACUGACACUAAGGCGCGAAAGCGUGGGGAGCGAACAGG